UACAGAAGGUACGAGCGUUAUUCGGAGUUAAUGGGCGUAAAGGGUAUGUAGGUGGUCAUUCGAUGUAACUGAAAAAAGCUAGGGCGAUCCCUUAGACAACCGGUUUUAAAGUCUGUGACUUGGGGAAAAAAGAGGUAGGGAGAAUUUCCAGAGUAGAAGUCGAAUUCUUAGAUACUGGAAGGACUAUCAUUAGGCGAAGGCACCUUUCCAUUUUUUUCCGACGCUGAGGUACGAAGGCAUGGGGAGCAAACAGG
Molecule: ribosomal RNA, 254 nt
Filed under: uncultured bacterium
Lineage: Bacteria
Description: partial 16S ribosomal RNA
Rfam family: Bacterial small subunit ribosomal RNA
Source: RNAcentral